Nycticebus coucang (slow loris) is the source of this 1906-nucleotide long non-coding RNA. RefSeq lists it as uncharacterized. The record is from RefSeq and is a predicted model, not a curated record. NCBI's taxonomy places the organism in Eukaryota, Metazoa, Chordata, Mammalia, Primates, Lorisidae. The transcript has 3 exons.
UAAAGCUCCUUUUCACAGGGACAGACUUGCUAAAUGGAUGUUCUUGGGUUACCCUACUGGUUCUACUGAGGAAGAGUUGUACUUUUUCUUUUCCAGUGUUGUCCAGGAGUGGGAAAAAGAACCAGGUAGCUCCAAUCUCCCGUUUUGUAGUUGUAGAGGACUGUACAAUCAUAACUGAGUUUGUGCAUAAUGUAACUCCACAAUGUGGAACUACAUCAUGAGGAGACCCUCAAUCACCACUGACAGAGCAAGUCAGGUCUACUACUGUCUUGAGUUCCAAAACCAACAAAGAGGCGCUGUAAUCUUGAUUUAAGAAAUGCGAAAACUGAUGCUCAUGGAAAUUAAGGGUGCUGGAAUUCAAAAUCAGGUGAGUCUGAUUGCAAGGUCCAUGCCACUGUUUAUAACAAUUAUAAAUGUUACAAAAGAAUAACAGAACUUUCUUCCACCAGUUUACCAUUAACUAUAUAAAGCAUUCAUAUAUUUAUUCAUUAAAUAUUUUCUGAGGUUAGUCUAGGUUUAGGGCAACAUAAAAGAUAUGAUGUUAGGAUUAUGAAUUUCACAGUCCUUCUACCCUUCUGAAGCUCAUUAAAGAUCACAGUACUGUUAGGUUUUAGGCAGUUAGUUAGACAUGAGUAGGGUGGAUGGCAGGUAUGGUUAGGUUACUUUGGACGCCUUGUGUCAGGCUGCCCUGGGCUAUUGUGGGAAUGGAGGCUAAUUGCCAAUUAAGAUCUUGCAGGUCUGAGACUUUGAAGGUGGGUUGUCUUGGGGAGCUGGUUGUUUUAGGGGACUAAUUAAUGUCCCUGGGACUGCCUAAUAUAGACAAAUAGAUGUGAACUGUUAUGGAAACAUGUAUGGGAAUGAAAUUGAUCUACAGCAGUGGUUCUCAACCUGUGGGUCGCUACCCCUUUGUAACAAUGAAAAUAUAUCGCAGCAUUAGAAAGGUUGAGAACCACUGAUCUAGAGCAUAGGAAUUUUCCAAGUAACUAUGUAUAAAAUAUAGAACCUGUGUGGGCACAGCCUGCUGUCCAAAUUGGUAGAAUAAGCUUUUCCUUUCUUGCUAAAACUUUACUUAGUCUUCUUCUCUUCAGUUAUUUCUCUGACUACCUUGAACCAUCACUGUCCUAACAGUACUAUGUCCUUCCAACAUUCAUCCAACAAAUAUAUGUUUAGUACCUUCCAUGUACCAGUCAGUUAACCUGGGAAGAACAAGUUGUUCUUUGUGCUUAAGAAGUUUGCGAGUGAGAUGGACAAAUAAACUGGCAAAUAUAAUGUGGUGUUGUCAGUGCUAUGAGUGGAGAGAAGUUGGAAGGAACAGAAGCCGGGCCCCUAAAUUAGUUUUGGAGAUAUCAAAAAAAGGUUUCUGAAAGGACACAUAUUGAAAGUUAAUUCAUUUUUUAUAUUAAUUCUAGCUAAAAUUAAAUAAUUUUUUUCUCAAAAUAACUGAACAACUACUUGGCUUAAUUUCAAAUCCUGGGAAGAAUAUUCUUAGAGGAAAAUCAAAUAUUUAGGAAAUAUACAAAUACUAUUUAUAAACAUUCAAAUAUAAGUUCUAAAAAGCAAAUUCCAGCCAAUUAGAAAAUAAAGAAAAGCCAAUUGUAUGUUUAAUUACUUACCCAGUUCACAAAUACAGAGCAUCUACAAUGUGUGAGGUAUCAUUGUGUAACAACUGGAAACAUAAGGUUGAGAAGAAAGAUCCUGUGGUACCCAUCAGAAGGUUCUAGUUUAGGGUGGGGCCUGUGGCUCAGUGAGUAAGGUGCCGGCCCCAUAUACCAAGCGUGGCAGGUUCAAGCCCAGCCCCGGCCAAACAGCAACAACAACAAAAAAUAAAUAAAUAAAAGGUGGAAGGUUCCAGUUUAGAGUGUAGCAGAAGGGACAAAAACGAAAACACCCAAGUAAUAAUAUUUCA